UACGUAGGGCGCAAGCGUUAUCCGGAAUUAUUGGGCGUAAAGAGCUCGUAGGCGGUUUGUCGCGUCUGCCGUGAAAGUCCGGGGCUCAACUCCGGAUCUGCGGUGGGUACGGGCAGACUAGAGUGAUGUAGGGGAGACUGGAAUUCCUGGUGUAGCGGUGAAAUGCGCAGAUAUCAGGAGGAACACCGAUGGCGAAGGCGGGUCUCUGGGCAGUAACUGACGCUGAGGAGCGAAAGCGUGGGGAGCGAACAGG
RNAcentral lists this ribosomal RNA (253 nucleotides) under uncultured bacterium. RNAcentral's name for it is "partial 16S ribosomal RNA". It matches the Rfam family "Bacterial small subunit ribosomal RNA", at positions 524 to 776 of the family's 1533-position model. The record is from RNAcentral.